Molecule: small RNA, 162 nt
Filed under: Lacticaseibacillus brantae
Lineage: Bacteria; Bacillati; Bacillota; Bacilli; Lactobacillales; Lactobacillaceae
Also listed under: 1 other name
Description: Lactobacillus brantae Magnesium sequence
Rfam family: M-box riboswitch aptamer (ykoK leader)
About the family: M-box riboswitch, also know as ykoK leader is described as a metaloregulatory RNA that sense divalent metals and function as a genetic control element of genes related to divalent metal transport in bacteria. It was first reported upstream of the B.subtilis ykoK gene and genes with related functions in other bacteria.
Source: RNAcentral
GAUGCUUUCCGUUAGGUGAGGCUCCUAUACGUACAACGCUGCUGCUCAGAAACAUCGAGAGAUGCCAAUUGAGUCAACUGGAACUGCCCAUCAAGGCUUUUUCUAAUGUAGCUGAGUAACCUCUAGGCGUAUAGUGCUAAAACUAAACGAUUGGGAUGCGAA